RNAcentral lists this unclassified non-coding RNA (378 nucleotides) under plant metagenome. RNAcentral's name for it is "partial contains 5.8S ribosomal RNA, internal transcribed spacer 2, and large subunit ribosomal RNA". The stretch from base 1 to 105 matches the Rfam family "5.8S ribosomal RNA", at positions 50 to 154 of the family's 154-position model. The record is from RNAcentral.
GAAAUGCGAUAAGUAAUGUGAAUUGCAGAAUUCAGUGAAUCAUCGAAUCUUUGAACGCACCUUGCGCUCCUUGGUAUUCCUUGGAGCAUGCCUGUUUGAGUAUCAUGAAAUCUUCAAAGUAAAUCUUUUGUUAACUCAAUUGGUUUCUACUUUGGUAUUGGAGGUCUUUGCAGCUUCACACCUGCUCCUCUUUGUUCAUUAGCUGGAUCUCAGUCUUAUGCUUGGUUCCACUCGGCGUGAUAAGUUAUCUAUCGCUGAGGACACUGUAAAAGGUGGCCAAGGUAAAUGCAGAUGAACCGCUUCUAAUAGUCCAUUGACUUGGACAAUACUUUUAUGAUCUGAUCUCAAAUCAGGUAGGACUACCCGCUGAACUUAAGC